This 333-nucleotide unclassified non-coding RNA is filed under the name soil metagenome. RNAcentral's name for it is "partial contains 5.8S ribosomal RNA, internal transcribed spacer 2, and large subunit ribosomal RNA". The stretch from base 1 to 120 matches the Rfam family "5.8S ribosomal RNA", at positions 35 to 154 of the family's 154-position model. The record is from RNAcentral.
GAUGAAGAACGCAGUGAAAUGCGAUAAGUAAUGUGAAUUGCAGAAUUCAGUGAAUCAUCGAAUCUUUGAACGCACAUUGCGCCCGCCAGUAUUCUGGCGGGCAUGCCUGUUCGAGCGUCAUUUCAACCAUCAAGCCCCAGGCUUGUGUUGGAGCCCUGCGGCUGCCGCAGCCUCCCAAAACCAGUGGCGGGCUCGCUAUCACACCGAGUGCAGUAGUUUACUCUUCGCUCAGGGCGUGUGGCGGGUGCUAGCCGUAAAACCCCCAACUUCUCAAGGUUGACCUCGGAUCAGGUAGGAAUACCCGCUGAACUUAAGCAUAUCAAUAAGCGGAGA